CGGUUGAUCCUGCCGGACCUGACUGCUAUCGGAUUGAUACUAAGCCAUGCGAGUCAUUGUAGCAAUACAAGGCAGACGGCUCAGUAACGCGUAGUCAACCUAACCUAUGGACGGGAAUAACCUCGGGAAACUGAGAAUAAUGCCCGAUAGAACACUAUGCCUGGAAUGGUUUGUGUUCCAAAUGAUUUAUCGCCGUAGGAUGGGACUGCGGCCUAUCAGUUUGUUGGUGAGGUAAUGGCCCACCAAGACUAUUACAGGUACGGGCUCUGAGAGGAGUAGCCCGGAGAUGGGUACUGAGACACGGACCCAGGCCCUAUGGGGCGCAGCAGGCGAGAAAACUUUGCAAUGUGCGAAAGCACGACAAGGUUAAUCCGAGUGGUUUGUGCUAAACAGACCUUUUGUUAGUCCUAGAAACACUAACGAAUAAGGGGUGGGCAAGUUCUGGUGUCAGCCGCCGCGGUAAAACCAGCACCUCAAGUGGUCAGGAUGAUUAUUGGGCCUAAAGCAUCCGUAGCCGGCUCUGUAAGUUUUCGGUUAAAUCUGUAUGCUCAACAUACAGGCUGCCGGGAAUACUGCAGAGCUAGGGAGUGGGAGAGGUAGACGGUACUCGGUAGGAAGGGGUAAAAUCCUUUGAUCUAUUGAUGACCACCUGUGGCGAAGGCGGUCUACCAGAACACGUCCGACGGUGAGGGAUGAAAGCUGGGGGAGCAAACCGGAUUAGAUACCCGGGUAGUCCCAGCUGUAAACUAUGCAAACUCAGUGAUGCAUUGGCUUGUGGCCAAUGCAGUGCUGCAGGGAAGCCGUUAAGUUUGCCGCCUGGGAAGUACGUACGCAAGUAUGAAACUUAAAGGAAUUGGCGGGGGAGCACCACAAGGGGUGAAGCCUGCGGUUCAAUUGGAUUCAACGCCGGAAAU
This 914-nucleotide ribosomal RNA is filed under the name uncultured archaeon. Its description in RNAcentral is "bacterial SSU rRNA". It matches the Rfam family "Archaeal small subunit ribosomal RNA", at positions 5 to 925 of the family's 1478-position model. The record is from RNAcentral.